Molecule: ribosomal RNA, 424 nt
Filed under: uncultured bacterium
Lineage: Bacteria
Description: partial 16S ribosomal RNA
Rfam family: Bacterial small subunit ribosomal RNA
Source: RNAcentral
GAAUAUUGGACAAUGGGCGGAAGCUUGAUCCAGCCAUGCCGCGUGCGUGAAGAAGGCCUUUUGGUGGUAAAGCACUUUAAGCGAGGCGGAGGAGCCCGUGGUUAAUACCCAAGAUGCUUGGACGUGAAUCGCCGCAUAAGCAGCGGCGAACUCUGUGCCGGCCGCAGCGGUAAUAGAUAGGGUGCACGCGUUACUCGGAUUUACUGUGCGUAAAGCGCGCGUAGGUGGCGAAUUCAGUCAAAUGUGAAAACCCCGAGCUUAAGUUGGGAAUUGCAGUCGAUACUGGUUGGCUAGAGUAUGGGAGAGGAUGGUAGAAUCACAGGUGUAGCGGUGAAAUGCGUAGAGAUCUGGAGGAAUACCGAUGGCGAAGGCAGCCAUCUGGCCUAAUACUGACACUGAGGUGCGAAAGCAUGGGGAGCAAACA